AUUGAACGCUGGCGGCAGGCCUAACACAUGCAAGUCGAGCGAGCGGCGGACGGGUGAGUAAUGCCUGGGAAUUGCCCAGUCGAGGGGGAUAACAGUUGGAAACGACUGCUAAUACCGCAUACCAUUGGAUUGCCCAGGUGGGAUUAGCUAGUGGGUGAGGUAAUGGCUCACAAAGGCGACGAUCCCUAGCUGGUCUGAGAGGAUGAUCGGCCAAACGGGAACUGAACAACGGUCCAGACUCCUACGGGAGGCAGCAUGGGGGAAUAUUGCACAAUGGGGGAAACCCUGAUGAGGCAAGGCCGCGUGUGUGAAGAAGGCCUUCGGGUUGUAAAGCACUUUCAGCGAGGAGGCGUUACUCGCAGAAGAAGCACCGGCUAACUCCGUGCCAGCAGCCGCGGUAAUUC
RNAcentral lists this ribosomal RNA (404 nucleotides) under uncultured bacterium. RNAcentral's name for it is "partial 16S ribosomal RNA". It matches the Rfam family "Bacterial small subunit ribosomal RNA", at positions 30 to 526 of the family's 1533-position model. The record is from RNAcentral.